UUAGCGGAAAGUAGCUUGCUACUUUGCCGGCGAGCGGCGGACGGGUGAGUAAUGUCUGGGGAUCUGCCUGAUGGAGGGGGAUAACUACUGGAAACGGUAGCUAAUACCGCAUAACCUCGCAAGAGCAAAGUGGGGGACCUUCGGGCCUCACGCCAUCGGAUGAACCCAGAUGGGAUUAGCUAGUAGGUGGGGUAAUGGCUCACCUAGGCGACGAUCCCUAGCUGGUCUGAGAGGAUGACCAGCCACACUGGAACUGAGACACGGUCCAGACUCCUACGGGAGGCAGCAGUGGGGAAUAUUGCACAAUGGGCGCAAGCCUGAUGCAGCCAUGCCGCGUGUGUGAAGAAGGCCUUCGGUGUAAACACUCAACAAAAACCCGAACGGAACU
RNAcentral lists this ribosomal RNA (388 nucleotides) under Yersinia ruckeri. RNAcentral describes it as "bacterial SSU rRNA". It matches the Rfam family "Bacterial small subunit ribosomal RNA", at positions 63 to 456 of the family's 1533-position model. The record is from RNAcentral. Lineage: Bacteria; Pseudomonadati; Pseudomonadota; Gammaproteobacteria; Enterobacterales; Yersiniaceae.